AAAUUGGAUUUCUGACUUCGAGGAGACAAAGGAAGGCUCGAUUCAGAAAGUAUGUGAGGGAGCUUCGGAGGUUUGCGGCGGCGAUUGGAAGCAGAGUUAAGGCUUGAAGCGGAGAGGGUAUGGGGCAGCUUAGAACUUGCAAUUGUAGGAGAAGGAGAAGGGGAAGGGGAAAACGCAGGCGGCGGUGGAGGUGGGUGGAGAGAAGGGGAUGGAGAUGGAGCAACACGUGGAGGUAUAGAAUUAGUAGAAGAAGGAGGGCGGUUUGAAGAGUGGAGGAAAACGGCAGGAGUUUGCUCGGAGACGGCAAGUGGUUCGCCAGAAGCGAAGGAGCAAAGAGCUGAGCCAGUAAUGCGAAGCGAACGGCAAUAAUCAGAGUGAGCCGCUGCGAGGUGGUGGCGCGCAUAGACUGCUUCCUUCAUGAGGCGGCGCCGCUCCUUGCACCGCCUGACGGUGUCCUCGUUGUCUAGCUUUGACGCUCUACAGCCCAUCUAGAGAACAAAGCAGAGAGAGAAGGGGACUGGAUGGCGCGUUUUGAGGUGGUGGCGCGCGUUUUGAGCUUUGGUUUAUGCUGUAGAGAGAGUGAGGGG
Molecule: unclassified non-coding RNA, 587 nt
Filed under: Hevea brasiliensis (rubber tree)
Lineage: Eukaryota; Viridiplantae; Streptophyta; Magnoliopsida; Malpighiales; Euphorbiaceae
Source: RNAcentral